This is a long non-coding RNA of Hydra vulgaris (swiftwater hydra), 347 nucleotides long. RefSeq lists it as uncharacterized. The record is from RefSeq and is a predicted model, not a curated record. Lineage: Eukaryota; Metazoa; Cnidaria; Hydrozoa; Anthoathecata; Hydridae.
GGAAGAGCACUGCAGUUGUCUUGCAGUUAUGCAACUUAUCAACCCAUAACUGCGAUAACUACAAGAUUUUUUAAUAAGAAAAGAGAUUGUAUGACUUCGGUAUCCGCAAUACGGUAUCGUGCAUUGAUUCCCAUCUUAGAAUGGCUCUCUUCCGUAUAGGUGGAAAUAGGAAAGGUUAUGUCUUUUUUUCCAAUUCUUAAAACGAAGAGGCUUAAUCGGUUCAAACAAAGAUGACGAUGAUCAUUAUGGAGCCGAUCAUAAUGAGGAAUACGAUAAUGCAUAUAAUAAUAAAUAAAAUGAUUUUACUUGUAUCUUAAACUUAUUUAAAUAAAAAAUUAUUUGUUUAA